UACGUAGGGGGCAAGCGUUGUCCGGAAUUAUUGGGCGUAAAGCGCGUGUAGGCGGUUCGGUAAGUCUGCUGUGAAAGUCCAGGGCUCAACCCUGGAAUGCCGGUGGAUACUGUCGAGCUAGAGUCCGGAAGAGGCGAGUGGAAUUCCUGGUGUAGCGGUGAAAUGCGCAGAUAUCAGGAGGAACACCAAUGGCGAAGGCAGCUCGCUGGGACGGUACUGACGCUGAGACGCGAAAGCGUGGGGAGCAAACAGG
This 253-nucleotide ribosomal RNA is filed under the name uncultured Conexibacter sp. Its description in RNAcentral is "partial 16S ribosomal RNA". It matches the Rfam family "Bacterial small subunit ribosomal RNA", at positions 524 to 776 of the family's 1533-position model. Lineage: Bacteria; Bacillati; Actinomycetota; Thermoleophilia; Solirubrobacterales; Conexibacteraceae. The record is from RNAcentral.